RNAcentral lists this ribosomal RNA (484 nucleotides) under uncultured bacterium. Its description in RNAcentral is "partial 16S ribosomal RNA". It matches the Rfam family "Bacterial small subunit ribosomal RNA", at positions 30 to 507 of the family's 1533-position model. The record is from RNAcentral.
AUUGAACGCUGGCGGCAGGCCUAACACAUGCAAGUCGAGCGGAUGAUGGGAGCUUGCUCCUGGAUUCAGCGGCGGACGGGUGAGUAAUGCCUAGGAAUCUGCCUGGUAGUGGGGGAUAACGUCCGGAAACGGGCGCUAAUACCGCAUACGUCCUGAGGCAGAAAGUGGGGGAUCUUCGGACCUCACGCUAUCAGAUGAGCCUAGGUCGGAUUAGCUAGUUGGUGGGGUAAAGGCCUACCAAGGCGACGAUCCGUAACUGGUCUGAGAGGAUGAUCAGUCACACUGGAACUGAGACACGGUCCAGACUCCUACGGGAGGCAGCGGUGGGGAAUAUUGGACAAUGGGCGAAAGCCUGAUCCAGCCAUGCCGCGUGUGUGAAGAAGGUCUUCGGAUUGUAAAGCACUUUAAGUUGGGAGGAAGGGCAGUAAGUUAAUACCUUGCUGUUUUGACGUUACCAACAGAAUAAGCACCGGCUAACUUCGUG